CUGAAGCAACAACAUCAACAGCAGCCAAAGCAUUAGCAUCACUACUCAAUCUUCUAUAAGAUAUAAAAAGAAAUUAUGGAUUUACAAAAACUCAACGCUAUUGGUCACAUGGAAAGUUUUCUGCCAACAAAAUGCUGCUGAGUUGACUCCAAAUGCUUUAUAUACUGUAACUAAAAUAAAGAGGGUACAAACUAAAUUCGGAGGUAGGAUUGUAGCAGAACUAGAUGCAAAAUUUACAACUUUCCUCCCAGCAAGGUUCGCGAAGCUGUUCGAAGCUGAACCUGCAUCAUUUAUAUCGAUUGAAGAAGCUGCGCAAUCUCAAGAAUUACAAUUAAAAUAUAUCGGCGGAAAGUUUGAUGUAAUCGUAUUUGAAUAUAAGUAAUAUAAAAAUUAUUAUACUAUAAAAAGAAAAAAUAAUUGUAAUAUAAAAUUGUAAAUAUUCAAAAUGUGAGAAAAAUAAAAGUAUAAAUUUACAUAAAAA
This is a long non-coding RNA of Leptopilina boulardi, 481 nucleotides long. RefSeq lists it as uncharacterized. The record is from RefSeq and is a predicted model, not a curated record. The transcript has 2 exons. NCBI's taxonomy places the organism in Eukaryota, Metazoa, Arthropoda, Insecta, Hymenoptera, Figitidae.